This 273-nucleotide long non-coding RNA is filed under the name Olea europaea (common olive). Its description in RNAcentral is "long non-coding RNA (OEUR_LNC012072)". The record is from RNAcentral. Lineage: Eukaryota; Viridiplantae; Streptophyta; Magnoliopsida; Lamiales; Oleaceae.
GGGGUAGUUAGGGAAUGGGCCUCUAGUGGUCACGAGAGGGUGGUCCACUCGCCGGUGUCGAUUUCAUAUUGGCCAUUUGAUUAUUGAUAUUGAUAUUAUGCAGAGCUCUAUCAUUGUGCAUAGUAGGUGGGUCAAGUGCCCAAUGAAAUGAAAGGUUUUAAAGGAAAUGAUUUCGAGUCGACUUUGAUGAAUAUUGGAAUAUGAUGCUUCCUUAUCGUAAUGUUUAAAGUAAAUGGUAUAGUAGCAUACAUCAUUAUUAUUCAUGUUCAUGAC